GAUGAACGCUGGCGGCGUGCCUAAUACAUGCAAGUCGAACGAGGUGCUUUUGUAGCAAUACGAGAGUAUCCUCGUGGCGAACGGGUGAGUAACGCGUUGGUGACCUACCCCAAAGUGUGGAAUAACAGUCCGAAAGGAUUGCUAAUACCGCAUGUGGUUAUCGGGUUUAGAAACUGAUAACUAAAGGAGCAAUUCGCUUUGGGAGGGACCUGCGUCCCAUCAGCUAGUUGGUGAGGUAAUGGCUCACCAAGGCUACGACGGGUAGGGGACCUGAGAGGGUGACCCCCCACAAUGGAACUGAAACACGGUCCAUACACCUACGGGUGGCAGCAGUAGGGAAUAUUGCACAAUGGGCGAAAGCCUGAUGCAGCAACGCCGCGUGCACGAUGAAGGCCUUCGGGUCGUAAAGUGCUUUUCUGGGAGAUGAGAAAGGACAGUAUCCCAGGAAUAAGUCUCGGCUAACUACGUG
RNAcentral lists this ribosomal RNA (469 nucleotides) under uncultured bacterium. RNAcentral describes it as "partial 16S ribosomal RNA". It matches the Rfam family "Bacterial small subunit ribosomal RNA", at positions 28 to 507 of the family's 1533-position model. The record is from RNAcentral.